Molecule: ribosomal RNA, 447 nt
Filed under: uncultured Christensenellaceae bacterium
Lineage: Bacteria; Bacillati; Bacillota; Clostridia; Christensenellales; Christensenellaceae
Description: bacterial SSU rRNA
Rfam family: Bacterial small subunit ribosomal RNA
Source: RNAcentral
UUCCUACGGGGGGCUGCAGGUAGGAAUAUUGGGCAAUGGGGGAAACCCUGACCCAGCAACGCCGCGUGAAGGAAGAAGGCCUUCGGGUUGUAAACUUCUGUGACAGGGGACGAAAGAAAUGACGGUACCCUGAGAGGAAGCUCCGGCAAACUACGUGCCAGCAGCCGCGGUAAUACGUAGGGAGCGAGCGUUGUCCGGAAUUACUGGGCGUAAAGGGCGCGUAGGCGGCGAUGCAAGUCGCAUGUGAAAUCCCCAGGCUUAACUUGGGGGGUGCAUACGAAACUGCAUGGCUUGAGUAUGGCAGAGGAAAGUGGAAUUCCUAGUGUAGCGGUGAAAUGCGUAGAUAUUAGGAGGAACACCAGUGGCGAAGGCGACUUUCUGGGCCACAACUGACGCUGAGGCGCGAAAGCGUGGGGAGCAAACAGGAUUAGAUACCCUUGUAGUCAC